Molecule: long non-coding RNA, 839 nt
Organism: Hordeum vulgare subsp. vulgare (domesticated barley)
Lineage: Eukaryota; Viridiplantae; Streptophyta; Magnoliopsida; Poales; Poaceae
Exons: 4
Source: RefSeq, a predicted model, not a curated record
UUGGUUGGAGGAGUUCAUAUAGGAUCGUGGUGCAGCCUGCAGACAAAGCGUGCGACGUACUUACUGAUGCGGCCCUCGUGUGUCUCGUCGGUCAGAGAACUGGUCGAAGCCUAGCAUGCCAAGUAGGAGUAAUUAGGAAGAGAAGCGAUACUAUAAUUUCCUGUUGUUUUUAUGCGUGUAGGAUGCAAGCACGGCCGCCGUCGUUUCUACGACUGAGGAUCAGAAGUGAUCAGAAGUGCAUCAUAUGCCGACAGUACGUGUAUCUAUCAACGGUUUCCUAUAGCUAUAGGUUUUCUUAUGUUUGCCUUGAGCACUGGAAGCACCUUUGUGAAUGCAACCCAAAGAAGUUUCGCUUACUUCACCGCCACACCCUUUCAGAGUAGGGUGAUUUAGCUUCCGAGGUCAAGGCUAAUCUCUCAGGGGAGAAUGUUAAGCCGAGCUCCUUAUUGCUUAAUGACAUCCCCACACCAUCUAAAAAGAAUUCUUGCAAAAAUAAACGCCAGGCCUCCUCUCUCGCCUCGACACCGUCCUGGAGUAGAUGUCCCGCCACACGUCAUGCCCCACCAUUGGCAACCGAGUGGCAUCCCGGCUCGAGGUCCCCCUCCACCUCAUUCCUCAUCCCGCGGAUCAUGUCUAUUCCAAUUGAGUGUUUGGCGUGGUCCACGCGCAGCUGCAACAGUUUAGGAAGAAGAAGGAUAAGAAGGGUCCCGGGAAGAAGGCAGAAGCCGACGCGGAUGAGGGGGCGUCGAAAGCGGGUGCCAAUGGGGAGGAGGCCCCGCCGGAGCAGAAGUCCCCCGUUGGGUUGAAGUUCCUUGCUGGGGAGAGUGGCAGCAGCCAUA